This 6992-nucleotide long non-coding RNA is filed under the name Eucalyptus grandis. RNAcentral's name for it is "long non-coding RNA (EGRA_LNC006089)". The record is from RNAcentral. Lineage: Eukaryota; Viridiplantae; Streptophyta; Magnoliopsida; Myrtales; Myrtaceae.
AAAGUCCGAGGGCGAGAACGGCUUACAUGCGUAUAUGUGUAUGUGUGUACGGCUUUUCGUCUUCCGCCUGCGAUGGAAUUCGCUUCGAAAAUCGAAACUGCUUUAAAUGCUUCGCGAAGUCUCGCCUUUUCCGACGUCGAAGAUUCAGGUUUCGAGGAUGACGGUAGUAAUAAGAGGGGAGUGAUCGAAGAUGUUGUUGUCGACCAGUGCCUAAGCAUUUCUAGGCCAAAGCCCCACCUCCACCCCCCCCAAAAAAAUAAUAAUAAAAAAGAAAAGAGCAAGCGCCGAGGAGUACAUAAUUGUCUAAAUAAUUAUUAGGAUAAAAAUUGCAAAAAUUUCCAGACUUUAUCUAUUGUAACACAUUUAUCAUGAUUUAUUUAUGUGAUACAUUUACUCUAGAUUUAUACAACGUAACACAUUUAUCUCAAGCUUAUUUUUUGUAACACCAAAGUCACGAACUUUUUAGUGACAUCAAAAGACCCCAAAUUUAUAUGUGUGUAACAUAUUUACAUGAAAAAUUUAGUGUCACAAAAAAAAAAUUGAGAAUUUUUGAUGUCACAAAAGAUAAAUUUGAGAUAUAUAUGUCACGGUUUUUGGCAUCAAAGAAGAAAAUUGGAUUGAAUGUGUCAAAGUGGGCAAAGUUUGGGAUUUUUAGUGUCAAAAAAUAAUUUAUGGUAAAUGUAUCGCUUUGGAUAAAGUAUGAAAUUUUUGUGUAGCUUUCUCCCUAAUUAUUAGAAAAACAUGGGGGAGAUAGUAUAUAAUAUAAAGUUUUCACUUAUUCUACAGCAAUAUAAAUCUUGCAUCUUGUAAACUAAUGAAGAUCAUACCUUCCAGACUCAAUAAAUUGAAAUCACCUUCUUGAACAUAUGAGCGGUAGCUUCGUCAAUCGAGCAAGAUAUUUAUGAUCACGCGUCAUGUCGCGCAAGACUUUCACAAGCCUACUUGGAACGAAGAACCGUCAAAAUGCUAGUAACGAGGAAAGGAAAUCGCUUUAAGAAGUUAAAAAAUCAGUCUGGCCAGAGAAUGAAGAAAGGAUCUGGCAGGAUCCACGGGGUAAUGUACAUGUACAUGAUAUCUUCAUGAAUAUUUGGCAUGAACUUGUUUCUGAUUAUUAUUUCUAACUACUAUAGACUACAUGAUUACAGGGAUUGCAGAGUAUAUGUCUUCACCACAAAGUCAGCCAAAACAGAAAAACCCAAAGGAAAAGAAAAUGGGAGAGGAAGUAGACACUCUUGACAUGCUCACUGCUCCGGCUCAACUGAAUGAAAAUUCACAUACAUCAUUCCGUUUCAUCCUUCAACCUUGUACAUCGCAAAUUUCGCAUCUCAGAAUCCAAGAUCUGAUUCUCCUCUGCUGUUUGUGAGUUUCUUUCUUUCCCCUUACUGUCCUCUUACGCCGCCGUGAGUUCCAUGCUAUUGUAUGCAAAAUCCACCUCGGACAUCAAAACAAGAGACACAUCACAGUGCAGGUGUCCUGCUUUUAAUCAACUUAUUGGUGAUUUCCAGCAUCGAGAUCAAUUGAGUCUAAAAAGCAGCCCUUUCCUAGAGAGCCAAGGUGAAAAUUUGUGCCUUGCCCCCUCCUCAAAGCCCCGGUGUCGAUUAUACUGGCACUUUUAUCAACAACUACCUCUUCCGCUCCAUCUUAUAAAAACAAAAACCUCUAAAAAAUUCCUUCGACUUCUCUUCUAAGUUAAGAAACGAUUCAGAAGCGCAUAGGACAGGACUUCAUUAUGCACUGCUCAAGUUGCUUUUAUUAACACCUUGUAGCUCCAUAGGAGAAUUGUUUAUACUGCCAACUGAGCCAAGGGUCUGAGAACUCAACUGUGGACUAGCGGGACAAGCUUCUGGAUUACCAGCACUCAUGCCAUGCAUAGUCCCAGAGCUGAUCUGUUGUGGGCUCACUAGGGUUCUUUGGCUCAUUUGCUGGGGACUAGACUGCUGUUGCUGCUGUUGGGAUUGUGAACUCAAUUGUGGAAUUGCCAUGUUUGAAGGUGAACUUAUUUGUGGUGGUGACAUAACAGCUUGCAAGGGUGAGGUUGUUUCUAGCUGAUGCAGCUGCUGCUGCUGCUGCAAUUGGAGUUGCUGCUGUUGCUGCUGUGGUUGCUGUUGCUGUUGGUGCAAUUGCAUCUGCUGCUGCUGGUGCUGCAGCUGCAUUGGCUGCUGCUGCUGCUGAUUCAUAUAUGGAUUCAUCCCUGUCAACUUUGGUGGGCCCAUUGCCCCCAUUGCUGCACGCUGCAUGUUAGCUCGAUUUGAGGCCAACAUUUGCAGGCCAGCAGGGCCCGGAAGCAUCGGUCGAGGUCCAGAGACACCACCCAUGCCAGGCUGAGUGCCCCCUAACACAGCUUGACUCUGUCUCGCCCCCUGAAAUCUUGGCAAAUUAGCGGGUUGCAUCAGUCGCUGGUUGCCAAUGUGAGAGGCCUGACCAAUGUUUGGCAUUUGGCCCAUGGAUGCUGAAAUUCCAGGCCCUCCCAUCCCCUUUGCGCCUGCCAUAUUUAUGGUGUUACUGAUGCUACUAAGCCCAGCCAAGUUACCACCCAUGUUUCCCAUGCCCAUAGCAGCUCCUAUCACCAUUUGUCUUUGCAACAUCGAUUGUCGUUGCUGCUGCUGCUGCUGCUGUUGCGCUUGCUGUGGCUGUUGCUGCUGUAAAAUCUGAAGAUGCGGAGGUGGUGGCUUAUUUGCCAUGUGAUUGCCCAACUGAAUACUGGCAUUCAACUGUGAGAGGGGAUUUGUAGCAAGCGUCAUUGGGGAUCUUGCAAACUGAGCAAGAUGCUGUUGAACCAUAGGAUUUUGGUGCUGCUGCUGCAGCUGCUGAGCCUGUUGCUGCAAUGAGGACUGUGAAUCUAGCUGUUGUGGUCGUCCAGGCACAGAGACUCCCGGAGCUAUUUGUGAGGCAUGAGGGUUUCCAGGAGGCAGCAUCCUUGCAUGUGGAGGAAUAUUCACAGAUGAACUAAGAGAUACGUUGCCACUAUUAGAGGUAGGCAACACUUCACUGGACAAUUGACCUGAAACUCCUUCAGGACAGCGGGGGAUAUCGGCAAUGGAAUUAUUAUGAGGAAUUCCAGGAGCAUUAGGUUGAUUGCUUGGAGCAAGAUUCAUGCGGGUCGGUUUUGGUUGGACCUGAUCUUCCACAUGAAAUCCUUCGCGUGUCAUCUGCAGAAACAUUCAAUAUCAUUUGAUUGAAAUGUAAAUCGAUAUCGGAUAGCUUUAAGCACUUAAGCUUGACCUGUUUUCAUAAACCUACCAAUGAGCAUAACUGGGCUCCAAGCAAAUCUGCCAAAUGCUGUAUCAGAAAUUCAAUCACAGAUGUUAGCCAUAAUGUUGAAAGAAAAACAUACUUUCUUGUGAGGCAAGGUAAGAAUAAGGCCACAUAGUGCAUAUGAUAAACAGGAAACCACAUCUUCCAAUUAUUAAGUAGGUGAACACACUGAAAUGCCAUUUGACAUUAGAAAGAUUUAUAGGCAAGACUCCUACGGUAUUUGGUAGUGUCGGAAGAUGCUCCUCUGAAGCCAGAAUAUCACCCUCUUCCAAAUCUCCAUAGUGCAUAGCAACGGUACCAUCGCUUGAUUUCUCUGACAUGAUCAUCUUGGUCUGAGGCCGGGAGACAACAGUCCCUAUACAAACAGGAGAAAGCCCAUGUUAAUCGAAAGAAAGUUCAUGCAAGUGAUGUUGCUUUUGUCUUUCAUUACAUUAUCCUCUCUACAACAUUAAAAUUAGCAUCUCAUCCUUCCAAAAUCAUUCAAGUUGGGUGUUGUUUAUCAAACCAAAAGACAUUCUUUUGGUGUCUUUUCUACAGGUGGUACCGUAUGUGACAGACUUUUAACACAUCGAGAUUGGGCAAGUACAAGUAACAGGAAUUUAACUCCACGCCACAUGAGAUUGGGUACUUUGCAUUGUGGCCAAUAUAAUGGUAAAUACUGCAAAAUUCUAGCAGCCAGCAGCAAUUUUAAGUCAGCAUAAAAUGAGAAGGACAGUUGUAGCAAAGUCCAAGGUACGAUUAAUAUCAGACCGGAGAAAUCAAUUUUAUGCUGCCAUAGAUCAUCUCCACAUGAAAGAUGCAACAAACCUUGAAGAUUUUGCUCUAGCUGCGAAAACUUAAGGACUCUAGUCUUGCAAAUAUUCGUGCUGCCUCCUACCAGUGACUUCAAGAGUGGUCUGGCACAUGAGUCAUCCUUAAAAUUCACAUCGUUGGAGACAUUGUGUAGACAUACCAAAAGAUUCUCAGUCAGGAAGGCACCAGGCUUUGUGGCUGGGUAACCUGCCUUGUUCUUUUUGUGGUCUAUUUGGUGCCUGAAGCAUCAUUGGAUGAGGGACAGUACUCAGAAUGAAAUGAAUUAUAUAUUUGAUAUUUAUAUCAGAAAACAGAUGCCAAUAAUUGCCUGAGAAAAAUAAUGUAACAAUGCUUCUGGAUGCACAUGUAAAGCACGUGGACUAAGAAUAUUUCGAACUUACGUUUUCAAGAUUUACUGUACUUCAUAUUACUUAACUCAAUUACGAGUCAAAGUCAAGCAGCAAGCACAAUAGCAACAUAUAAGUUGUCAUGGUUGCAGCAUGGUAAUUAGAGCAUCCUAUGCUUUAAAGAAGGACAAAGCUUACUGAUAUAAUCCACAUCUAAAUGCCAUCUAGAUCAGCCUCAUGAUCAAGAACGCAAUUAGAUCAUUUUUCAAACUAUUGUCUCACUGGGAGCUAGAAAUUUAAAACUCGUGACAACAGAUAGAUGUUGUAGACAUCUAUCCUUAAUCUACAUUUCCAUCAGAGGUAGAUGUUCGCUAAAAAGCUAUUAAUUUAAUAGGAAUACAUCCUGAAAACAGAUCAAAGUUCCUGAUUGCUCUGAAAAUCAUUAGCCAACCACCAUAAAUACUCCAACUGGCUUCGCCUAUAAUCAUGUAAAUUGGUGCUUUACAUAGAAAAAAUAAGAUUGGUAUCCCAGUUUUUCAAGUUCUAGACAACCAGCUUUGCUGCAUUGCUGAUGCGGCUAACUAAACUUUUUCUCAUCCUCGAUAUUAUCAUUAAGACUCUGUAUUAACAAACUCCGGGCAAGUAAAUUACUGAAGAGAAAUUAUAAACUAUAAAACUGAAAAAUGUCUGACUAGCAGAAAUACAGGAGGGAAAACAAGACAGAGCAACAGGCUUCAGAGCUCAAUCAACCUCAUACCUCGUCAUAAUUGUAUCAAUCUUUAAAAACUUCUCAAGCAUUGUCUGAUCAACCAGAGGUGGGGUUCCAACAGAAGGACUGCUCGCAUUUAAUGCAACACCAAUGUUGCUCACGCUAGCAGGAGAGCCAACACCGCUGAUUAUUGGCGUCUUUGGAAGUGAAUUCUGUCUUCGUUUUGCAGCAGCCUGAGCCUGGUUCUGUUGUAGUGUUGAAUCAUUGGCACUAGAUGUUAAAGAUCCUGUCGCUCCAACAGGAGGAACUGAGGUUAUUCCAGCCCUUUCCUUGGGCAACAAUCCAGGCACAGGAGUUGCUGCAGCUGCCCCAUACUGUGGUCCAGCUGAACUGCUAGAAAAUUCCCCUGAUUUUGAUGACAAGGGAGAUUGAGCCAAGGUUCCACCAGAUAGGCGUGGGCUUUGCACUGCUUUCCUUUUUUGUAUCUGUUCCUCCUCUUUCAAAUUACUAUCAAUCUGCUGAUUGACGUUACUAUCAAAUCUUCCAUCCCCUGUGAAGUCCUCAGCAAGCACCGAAUCUUCAAAGCCAGCAAUACUUUUCGUUUCCUCGCUUUUACCACUAGCGGAAUGUGAAGGUUGCUGAAGCUCACUUGGCGGAAAGUAACUAUUUUUGUUGGGUGAAAGAGAAUCAUUCUCUGUUUCCUCGCUGUGAGUUUCGUCAAUUUGGAUUCUGUUCAUGCCCAAAUUAAGUUCCGGGUCUGCAGGCUGAGAAGACAAGCAACAUAUUGAUUUCAAUCUACUUAAUACCUGAGCAGCAGUGAUUCAAGUCAAAGGCCCCCCGGAACUAAAAUGGUUUCUAAUUUGUUGCGAAAAAGAAGUCACAUUGAGAGAUAGAUGAUACCACGGACUUCAGUUUACUAUAAUAAACUAAAGGAACUUACAAGUGCAGAAAUACAGUAGACAUGAAGCUGAAUUGUUACAUCAGCACUAAUCUUUUACCGAUGAAACAAACAAGCAGCGAUGUCUGCUAUCAAUUUUGUCCAUAGAUUUCCAUCAUCUGUCGUACGCAUGCAUUAAUAAUGCUCAUUCAUCCCAUGUUAAUCACACUUCCGAUUUUCGCCGACAGAUAAAUCCUUUUUUCUCUUUCAGUCCAACAGUGAGGGUUCGGUUCUUUUUCUUGCGAACUUUAAAAUUAUGCAAUUGUUUCUCCAUGUAUUCUUUCAUUAAGGGACGUGUAUCGCGCGGUGCAUCAUUUCUAGUUCACCUAAAAAUAAAAAGGUCAUUGUCAUUACCAUAACGUCACAAACACCCCCAUCAUAUCUACUAGCCAAAAAGCAGACUUUACUGAAACCCAUUGCAACAGAGAGAUGAACUUAUCUACUCCCAAAAUCAAACCCAGAAAAACAAGAGCAAAACGACGCAGACCCACGAGAGGAGGGACAAAGAUAAAACGAUACAACGACCGGACAAAUAACAAGUGCAUAAGAGAAGAGAGAGGGGACACGAGGAAAUUACAGAGGAGCGACGAUGCGCAGGACCACCCACCGGACGCCAAGCUCGGCCUCCCGGCGGGGCGGAGCUCGAUCCCACGUCGCUUGCUCUCCUGCCGCGAUUCAUCUGCUCCGGAAUUCGGAACUUGGGCCGUCGCAAAGAUCGGGUUUUUCCUCUUGUAGCGAGAGAAAGUCCGAGGACGAGAACGGCUUACAUACGUAUAUGUGCAUGCGUGUACGGCUUUCCGUCUUCCGCCUGCGAUGGAUUUCGCUGCGAAAAUCGAAACUGCUUUAAAUGCUUCGCGAAGUCUCGCCUUUUCCGACGUCGAAGAUUCAGGUUUCGAGGAUGACGGUAGUAAUAAGAGGGGAGUGAUCGAAAAUGUUGUUGUCGACCAGUGCC